GAUGAACGCUAGCGAUAGGCCUAACACAUGCAAGUCGAGGGGCAUCACAUGAAGUAGCAAUACGGAUGGUGGCGACCGGCGCACGGGUGAGUAACACGUAUGCAACCUGCCUUCAACAAGGGGAUAACCCGUUGAAAGACGGACUAAUACCCUAUAACACAGGGGUCCCGCAUGGGAAUAUUUGUUAAAGGACAACCGGUUGAAGAUGGGCAUGCGUUCCAUUAGCUAGUUGGCGGGGUAACGGCCCACCAAGGCAACGAUGGAUAGGGGAACUGAGAGGUUUAUCCCCCACACUGGUACUGAGACACGGACCAGACUCCUACGGGAGGCAGCAGUGAGGAAUAUUGGUCAAUGGACGCAAGUCUGAACCAGCCACGUCGCGUGAAGGAAGACGGCCCUACGGGUUGUAAACUUCUUUUAACGGGAAUAAAGUGCCCCACGCGUGGGGUUUUGCAUGUACCGUAUGAAUAGGAUCGGCUAACUCCGUGCCAGCAGCCGCGGUAA
RNAcentral lists this ribosomal RNA (504 nucleotides) under uncultured bacterium. RNAcentral's name for it is "bacterial SSU rRNA". It matches the Rfam family "Bacterial small subunit ribosomal RNA", at positions 28 to 523 of the family's 1533-position model. The record is from RNAcentral.